RNAcentral lists this ribosomal RNA (1338 nucleotides) under Mycobacterium sp. DWMJ-797A2. Its description in RNAcentral is "bacterial SSU rRNA". It matches the Rfam family "Bacterial small subunit ribosomal RNA", at positions 79 to 1392 of the family's 1533-position model. The record is from RNAcentral. Lineage: Bacteria; Bacillati; Actinomycetota; Actinomycetes; Mycobacteriales; Mycobacteriaceae.
UUCGGAGGUACUCGAGUGGCGAACGGGUGAGUAACACGUGGGCAAUCUGCCCUGCACUUCUUUCGGGGGAUAAGCCUGGGAAACUGGGGUUCUAAUACCGGGAAUAGGACCUCCAAAGACGCAUGUCUUCUGGGUGGAAAGCUUUUGCGGUGUGGGGAUGGGCCCGCGGGCCCUAUCAGCUUGUUGGUGGGGUGACGGCCUACCAAGGCGACGACGGGUAGCCGGCCUGAGAAGGGUGUCCGGCCACCACUGGGACUGAGAUUACGGCCCAGAACUCCUACGGGAAGGCAGCAGUGGGGAAUAUUUGCACAAUGGGCGCAAGCCUGAUGCAGCGACGCCGCGUGGGGGAUGACGGCCUUUCGGGUUGUAAACCUCUUUCACCAUCGACGAAGGUCCGGGUUUUCUCGGAUUGACGGUAGGUGGAGAAGAAGCACCGGCCAACUACGUGCCAGCAGCCGCGGUAAUACGUAGGGUGCGAGCGUUGUCCGGAAUUACUGGGCGUAAAGAGCUCGUAGGUGGUUUGUCGCGUUGUUCGUGAAAUCUCACGGCUUAACUGUGAGCGUGCGGGCGAUACGGGCAGACUAGAGUACUGCAGGGGAGACUGGAAUUCCUGGUGUAGCGGUGGAAUGCGCAGAUAUCAGGAGGAACACCGGUGGCGAAGGCGGGUCUCUGGGCAGUAACUGACGCUGAGGAGCGAAAGCGUGGGGAGCGAACAGGAUUAGAUACCCUGGUAGUCCACGCCGUAAACGGUGGGUACUAGGUGUGGGUUUCCUUCCUUGGGAUCCGUGCCGUAGCUAACGCAUUAAGUACCCCGCCUGGGGAGUACGGCCGCAAGGCUAAAACUCAAAGGAAUUGACGGGGGCCCGCACAAGCGGCGGAGCAUGUGGAUUAAUUCGAUGCAACGCGAAGAACCUUACCUGGGUUUGACAUGCACAGGACGCGUCUAGAGAUAGGCGUUCCCUUGUGGCCUGUGUGCAGGUGGUGCAUGGCUGUCGUCAGCUCGUGUCGUGAGAUGUUGGGUUAAGUCCCGCAACGAGCGCAACCCUUGUCUCAUGUUGCCAGCGGGUAAUGCCGGGGACUCGUGAGAGACUGCCGGGGUCAACUCGGAGGAAGGUGGGGAUGACGUCAAGUCAUCAUGCCCCUUAUGUCCAGGGCUUCACACAUGCUACAAUGGCCGGUACAAAGGGCUGCGAUGCCGUAAGGUUAAGCGAAUCCUUUUAAAGCCGGUCUCAGUUCGGAUUGGGGUCUGCAACUCGACCCCAUGAAGUCGGAGUCGCUAGUAAUCGCAGAUCAANCGCAACGCUGCGGUGAAUACGUUCCCGGGCCUUGUACACACCG